GAUGUACGCUGGCGGCGUGGAUAAGACAUGCAAGUCGAACGCUGAUUCGAGGGUAGCAAUAUUCUCGAGUCAGAGUGGCGCAAGGGUGCGUAACACGUGGGCAAUCUACCGCGAAGACCGGAAUAACCUGCUGAAAGGCGGGCUAAUGCCGGAUGUGACUGUCUGGAGGAUUCUUCGGACACUCAAAGUUGGGGGACCGUAAGGCCUGACACUUCGCGAUGAGCCCGCGGCCUAUCAGCUAGUUGGCGGGGUAACGGCCCACCAAGGCUAAGACGGGUAGCUGGUCUGAGAGGACGACCAGCCACACUGGAACUGAGACACGGUCCAGACACCUACGGGUGGCAGCAGUCGAGAAUUUUUCACAAUGGGCGAAAGCCUGAUGGAGCGACGCCGCGUGGGGGGAUGAAGGGCUUCGGCUCGUAAACCCCUGUCAUUCGAGAACAAACCCUGCGAUUUAAUAGAUCGCGGGCUGAUAGUAUCGGAAGAGGAAGGGACGGCUAACU
RNAcentral lists this ribosomal RNA (503 nucleotides) under uncultured bacterium. Its description in RNAcentral is "bacterial SSU rRNA". It matches the Rfam family "Bacterial small subunit ribosomal RNA", at positions 28 to 502 of the family's 1533-position model. The record is from RNAcentral.